CCUACGGGAGGCAGCAGUGAGGAAUAUUGGACAAUGGGCGCAAGCCUGAUCCAGCCAUGCCGCGUGCAGGAAGACGCAUCUAUGGUGUGUAAACUGCUUUUGUACGGGAAGAAACACUCCCUCGUGAGGGAGCUUGACGGUACCGUAAGAAUAAGGAUCGGCUAACUCCGUGCCAGCAGCCGCGGUAAUACGGAGGAUCCAAGCGUUAUCCGGAAUCAUUGGGUUUAAAGGGUCCGUAGGCGGUUUAAUAAGUCAGUGGUGAAAGCCCAUCGCUCAACGAUGGAACGGCCAUUGAUACUGUUAGACUUGAAUUACUAGGAAGUAACUAGAAUAUGUAGUGUAGCGGUGAAAUGCUUAGAUAUUACAUGGAAUACCAAUUGCGAAGGCAGGUUACUACUAGUGGAUUGACGCUGAUGGACGAAAGCGUGGGGAGCGAACAGGAUUAGAUACCCUGGUAGUCCACGCCGUAAACGAUGGAUACUAGCUGUUGGGCGACAAGUUCAGUGGCUAAGCGAAAGUGAUAAGUAUCCCACCUGGGGAGUACGUUCGCAAGAAUGAAACUCAAAGGAAUUGACGG
RNAcentral lists this ribosomal RNA (577 nucleotides) under uncultured bacterium. RNAcentral's name for it is "bacterial SSU rRNA". It matches the Rfam family "Bacterial small subunit ribosomal RNA", at positions 338 to 916 of the family's 1533-position model. The record is from RNAcentral.